UUUACUUCUUCUUUCUCCUCCUCUUUUAUACUUUCUUCUUCUUCCUCUUUUGUAAUUUCUUCUUCUUCUUCUUUUAUAAUUUCUUCUUCUUCCUCUUUUAUAUCUUCUUCUUUUUCCUCCUCUUUUAUAAUUUCUUCUUUUUCCUCUUUUGUAAUUUCUUCUUCCUCCUCUUUUAUAAUUUCUUCUUCUUCCUCUUUUAUAUCUUCUUCUUUUUCUUCUUCCUCUUUUAUAAUUUCUUCUUCUUCCUCUUUUAUAUCUUCUUCUUUUUCUUCUUCCUCUUUUAUAUCUUCUUUUUCCUCCUCUUUUAUAUCUUCUUCCUUCUCCUCCUCUUUUAUACUUUCUUCUUCUUCUUCUUCUUUUAUAAUUUUUUCUUCCUCUUUUAUAUCUUCUUCUUUUUCCUCCUCUUUUAUAUCUUCUUCUUUUUCCUUCUCUUUUAUAAUUUCUUCUUCUUCCUCUUUUGUAAUUUCUUCUUUUUCCUCCUCUUUUAUAUCUUCUUCCUUCUCCUCCUCUUUUAUACUUUCUUCUUCUUCCUCCUCUUUUAUACUUUCUUCUUCUUCUUCUUUUAUAUCUUCUUCUUCUUCCUCUUUUAUAUCUUCUUUUCCCUCCUCUUUUAUAUCUUCUUCUUUUUCCUCCUCUUUUAUAUCUUCUUCUUUUUCCUCCUCUUUUAUACUUUCUUCUUCUUCCUCUUUUGUAAUUUCUUCUUCUUCAUUUUUUAUACUUUCUUCUUCUUCCUCUUUUAUAUCUUCUUCUUUUACAUUUUCCUUCUCCUCUUUUAUACUUUCUUCUUCUUCUUCAUUUUUUAUACUUUCUUCUUCUUCUUCCUCUUUUAUAAUUUCUUCUUCUUCCUCUUUUAUAUCUGCUUCUUUUACUUCUUUUUCUUCCUCUUUUAUAUCUUCUUCUUUUUCCUCCUCUUUUAUAGCUUCUUCUUCCUUCUCCUCUUUUAUACUUUCUUCUUCUUCCUCUUUUGUAAUUUCUUCUUCUUCUUCUUUUAUAAUUUCUUCUUCUUCCUCUUUUAUAUCUUCUUCUUUUUCCUCCUCUUUUAUAUCUUCUUCUUUCUCCUCCUCUUUUAUAUCUUCUUCUUUCGCCUCAUCUUUUGUAUCUUCUUCUUUUACAUCUUUCUCCUCCUCUUUUAUAUCUUCUUCUUUCUCCUUCUCUUUUAUAUCUUCUUCUUUCGCC
RNAcentral lists this long non-coding RNA (1176 nucleotides) under Piliocolobus tephrosceles (Ugandan red Colobus). RNAcentral's name for it is "lncRNA (ENSPTEG00000010941.1)". The record is from RNAcentral. Lineage: Eukaryota; Metazoa; Chordata; Mammalia; Primates; Cercopithecidae.